This 492-nucleotide ribosomal RNA is filed under the name uncultured bacterium. Its description in RNAcentral is "partial 16S ribosomal RNA". It matches the Rfam family "Bacterial small subunit ribosomal RNA", at positions 29 to 507 of the family's 1533-position model. The record is from RNAcentral.
AGUGAACGCUGGCGGUAGGCCUAACACAUGCCAGUCGAACGGCAGCACAGUAAGAGCUUGCUCUUACGGGUGGCGAGUGGCGGACGGGUGAGGAAUACAUCGGAAUCUACUUUUUCGUGGGGGAUAACGUAGGGAAACUUACGCUAAUACCGCAUACGACCUACGGGUGAAAGCAGGGGAUCUUCGGACCUUGCGCGAUUGAAUGAGCCGAUGUCGGAUUAGCUAGUUGGCGGGGUAAAGGCCCACCAAGGCGGCGAUCCGUAGCUGGUCUGAGAGGAUGAUCAGCCACACUGGAACUGAGACACGGUCCAGACUCCUACGGGAGGCAGCAGUGGGGAAUAUUGGACAAUGGGCGCAAGCCUGAUCCAGCCAUACCGCGUGGGUGAAGAAGGCCUUCGGGUUGUAAAGCCCUUUUGUUGGGAAAGAAAAGCAGCAGGUUAAUACCCCGCUGUUCUGACGGUACCCAAAGAAUAAGCACCGGCUAACUUCGUG